UAGUUGACAAAUCGAUACCAUGUAAUGAUAGUUGGUUAAACCAAAAAAAAAGUAAUAAUAGUUGAUGAUAUGAUCAUAAGAAGGAUGUAUGAAUGAAAUAACGGUGGAGAACUGGGGUUUUCGAGGAGAGAUCGAGGCCAAGGUCGAACAGACAACGAAACAAAGAUGAGAACACAUAAGAUUGCUCACUUUGACAAGCCUAGCAUCGAAUCGAACCACUCUUGAUCGUCUCCAUCUUCUGAUAUCCACCAUUUAUAAACCCAAUAUUAUUCUUAAAGAAAUUUUUUUUUUUUUUUUUGUAAGAAGGAGCCCUAGCUACUUAUAGAACAAGAUAUGCAAUGGAGGAUGAGAAUCCACGCAACCAACCAUGAGUUAAUAUAGGGAUUCUUGAAAAGGCUUGACAAAACAUCUGGGCUAGAGAGCCUCACACGUGUCAACCAAUCACAAGUCACGAACCCUUUGGUUUGUUGACUCACGGGUGGUUCGUGUGCAUGCCCUCUCUUCUAUUUCGAGCGUGCGGAAUAAAUGUACACACACACAAAUUUAUACUUAUACACUAUACCGCAUACCGCACCUACCAACGUCUCUUGUGAAAACGGAAACAAGAAAGAAAAGUUGUAUUAUAUUGACCGUGAUAUGAAGAUUCGAACCCACCCAUGUGCGUAGUUAUAACUAAAUUUCC
RNAcentral lists this long non-coding RNA (682 nucleotides) under Brassica rapa (field mustard). RNAcentral's name for it is "long non-coding RNA (BRAP_LNC001045)". Lineage: Eukaryota; Viridiplantae; Streptophyta; Magnoliopsida; Brassicales; Brassicaceae. The record is from RNAcentral.